UACGUAGGGACCAAGCGUUGUUCGGAUUUACUGGGCGUAAAGGGCGCGUAGGCGGCAAUUCAAGUCAUCUGUGAAAUCUCCCGGCUUAACUGGGAGGGUGCAUUAGAAACUGGAAUGCUAGAGGAUGGGAGAGGUAAGCGGAAUUCCUGGUGUAGCGGUGAAAUGCGUAGAUAUCAGGAGGAACACCUGUGGUGUAGACAGCUUACUGGACCAUUUCUGACGCUGAGACACGAAAGCGUGGGUAGCAAACAGG
This 253-nucleotide ribosomal RNA is filed under the name uncultured bacterium. Its description in RNAcentral is "partial 16S ribosomal RNA". It matches the Rfam family "Bacterial small subunit ribosomal RNA", at positions 524 to 776 of the family's 1533-position model. The record is from RNAcentral.